Molecule: small nucleolar RNA, 91 nt
Organism: Vitis vinifera (wine grape)
Lineage: Eukaryota; Viridiplantae; Streptophyta; Magnoliopsida; Vitales; Vitaceae
Rfam family: Small nucleolar RNA R24
About the family: snoR24 is a C/D box small nucleolar RNA which acts as a methylation guide for 18S ribosomal RNA in plants.
Source: Rfam
GAAGCCGUGAUGAACUGCUAACAUAUAAGAAGAACUGUCUUUGAUGGUCUCUUCAAUGAGAUAUACUUGUUACGCUUGGCUUCUGAGCUUC